UACGGAGGGUGCAAGCGUUAUCCGGAUUCACCGGGUUUAAAGGGUGCGUAGGUGGGCAGGUAAGUCAGUGGUGAAAUCUUCGAGCUUAACUCGGAAACUGCCGUUGAUACUAUCUGUCUUGAAUGUUGUGGAGGUGAGCGGAAUAUGUCAUGUAGCGGUGAAAUGCUUAGAUAUGACAUAGAACACCCAUUGCGAAGGCAGCUCACUACACAAUGAUUGACACUGAGGCACGAAAGCGUGGGGAUCAAAC
RNAcentral lists this ribosomal RNA (250 nucleotides) under uncultured bacterium. Its description in RNAcentral is "partial 16S ribosomal RNA". It matches the Rfam family "Bacterial small subunit ribosomal RNA", at positions 524 to 773 of the family's 1533-position model. The record is from RNAcentral.